UAGGGAAUCUUCGGCAAUGGACGAAAGUCUGACCGAGCAACGCCGCGUGAGUGAAGAAGGUUUUCGGAUCGUAAAACUCUGUUGUUAGAGAAGAACAAGGACGUUAGUAACUGAACGUCCCCUGACGGUAUCUAACCAGAAAGCCACGGCUAACUACGUGCCAGCAGCCGCGGUAAUAUGUAGGUGGCAAGCGUUGUCCGGAUUUAUUGGGCGUAAAGCGAGCGCAGGCGGUUUCUUAAGUCUGAUGUGAAAUCCCCCGGCUCAACCGGGGAGGGUCAUUGGAAACUGGGAGACUUGAGUGCAGAAGAGGAGAGUGGAAUUCCAUGUGUAGCGGUGAAAUGCGUAGAUAUAUGGAGGAACACCAGUGGCGAAGGCGGCUCUCUGGUCUGUAACUGACGCUGAGGCUCGAAAGCGUGGGGAGCAAACAGG
This 429-nucleotide ribosomal RNA is filed under the name Gemmatimonadota bacterium. Its description in RNAcentral is "Gemmatimonadetes bacterium partial 16S ribosomal RNA". It matches the Rfam family "Bacterial small subunit ribosomal RNA", at positions 355 to 776 of the family's 1533-position model. Lineage: Bacteria; Pseudomonadati; Gemmatimonadota. The record is from RNAcentral.